Small nuclear RNA from Artibeus jamaicensis (Jamaican fruit-eating bat), 107 nucleotides. Lineage: Eukaryota; Metazoa; Chordata; Mammalia; Chiroptera; Phyllostomidae. The record is from RefSeq and is a predicted model, not a curated record.
GUGCUCACUUCAGCAGCACAUACCCUACAAUCAGAACAGUACCGAGAACACUAGCAUGGCCCCUGAGCGAGGGUGAUGUGCAAAUUUGUGAAGCACUCCUAAUUUUA